Molecule: long non-coding RNA, 394 nt
Organism: Oncorhynchus nerka (sockeye salmon)
Lineage: Eukaryota; Metazoa; Chordata; Actinopteri; Salmoniformes; Salmonidae
Exons: 4
Source: RefSeq, a predicted model, not a curated record
UGAAUGUUGGCACCCAGCCCCAGAAAUGCUGUGAACAUUUGUUGUGCCAGUUGGACUAUCUUGUGUAAAACAUCCGUACCUAUAACGACUUUGUGGAUUACCUGAGUGACCCCUCCAAGCGGAAUGACAUUGAGAGGGAGCUGGCUGAGGCAAAGCACCCUGGUGGGUUCGUGGAGCGUCUGUACGCUCUCCUGUACUCCUUCCUGCCGACAUGGAGCCAGAGGCUGACAGAUACCUGCUGCUGCUCAAUGAUUCUUGUGACACUUUGCCACCCAACAGGGAUCUAGACACCAAUGCACUACAUUACUUUGCACUGAAUUUUAAAUUUUUAAAUAAAUUGAGUUGUAGUUCGGGAAACAAAUGUUUUUGAACUACAUCUUUUCUUCUAUAUGAC